Molecule: RNA transcript, 1854 nt
Organism: Andrographis paniculata
Lineage: Eukaryota; Viridiplantae; Streptophyta; Magnoliopsida; Lamiales; Acanthaceae
Gene name: elongation factor 1-alpha-like
Exons: 4
Source: RefSeq, a predicted model, not a curated record
CUAUUUCCUUCACGCUGCACAGAUCACGUUUCCCCUUCACUCUGACGUACGCAAAGUUUUACGAAGUUAAUUCAUCAUGGGUAAAGAGAAGAGUCACAUAAACAUUGUGGUUAUCGGCCAUGUCGACUCUGGAAAGUCGACCACAACUGGACACCUGAUUUACAAGCUUGGAGGUAUCGACAAGCGUGUGAUCGAAAGGUUCGAGAAAGAGGCAGCUGAAAUGAACAAGAGGUCGUUCAAGUACGCCUGGGUGCUCGACAAGCUCAAGGCCGAGCGCGAGCGUGGUAUCACCAUUGACAUUGCCUUGUGGAAAUUCGAGACCACAAAGUACUACUGCACUGUCAUUGACGCUCCAGGACACAGAGAUUUCAUCAAGAACAUGAUCACCGGAACUUCACAGGCCGACUGCGCCGUCCUCAUCAUCGACUCCACCACCGGUGGUUUCGAAGCCGGCAUAUCAAAGGACGGCCAGACGCGUGAGCACGCGCUGCUUGCUUUCACUCUCGGCGUAAAGCAAAUGAUCUGUUGCUGCAAUAAGAUGGAUGCCACCACGCCAAAAUACUCCAAAGCAAGGUACGAUGAAAUCGUCAAGGAAGUCUCCUCCUACCUCAAGAAGGUCGGAUACAACCCAGACAAAAUCCCCUUCGUCCCCAUCUCCGGUUUCGAAGGCGACAACAUGAUCGAAAGAUCCACCAACCUCGAUUGGUACAAAGGCCCGACUCUCCUCGAAGCUCUCGACCAAAUCCAGGAGCCAAAAAGGCCCUCAGACAAGCCCCUCCGCCUCCCCCUCCAAGACGUGUACAAAAUCGGCGGCAUCGGUACCGUCCCCGUCGGCCGUGUCGAAACCGGCACGCUCAAGCCAGGCAUGUUGGUCACCUUCGGCCCGACCGGAUUAACCACCGAAGUCAAGUCCGUCGAAAUGCACCACGAAGCCCUCCAGGAGGCCCUCCCCGGCGACAACGUCGGAUUCAACGUGAAAAACGUUGCAGUGAAGGAUCUCAAGCGUGGGUACGUGGCGUCGAACUCGAAAGACGACCCUGCGAAGGAGGCUGCGAACUUCACGUCGCAGGUGAUCAUCAUGAACCACCCUGGGCAGAUCGGGAACGGGUACGCCCCGGUCCUGGACUGCCACACCUCCCACAUUGCUGUGAAAUUUGCAGAACUGGUGACGAAGAUCGACAGGCGGUCGGGUAAGGAGCUGGAGAAGGAGCCCAAGUUCUUGAAGAAUGGAGAUGCAGGGUACAUAAAGAUGGUUCCGACGAAGCCGAUGGUGGUGGAGACGUUCUCGGAGUACCCGCCGCUGGGGCGGUUCGCGGUGAGGGACAUGAGGCAGACGGUGGCGGUGGGGGUGAUCAAGAGUGUGGAGAAGAAAGAGCCGUCGGGGGCUAAGGUGACCAAGGCUGCGGCCAAGAAGGGCGCCAAGUGAAUGGUGCAGGAGCAGGAGCAGGUUAGAGUUAUUAUUAUUAAUGGGUUUGAUUUGAAUAAUAAUAAUAGUAAUAAUAAUAGUGAAGGUAAUAAUAAGAAUGGAAGAAGUAAGGUUUAUUUAGAGUUAUGUUUUUUAAUGGUGGGUAGCAGUAGCAGUAGCAGUAGGAGGUGGUGCCGCCUCCGUCUCCGCCUCCUUGCGGUGGUCCUCCAGUCGCAAAACUGGGUUCUGGACCGGCGGUGGCGACGCUGCUUUUCGACCUUUGUUUCGUGAUGCAUUUGGGAUCAACUAAAAAGUACUCCUAUUUCGCAACUAUGGGGUGGAGCAAAGACUGAAUCUAAUAAUUAUUAUUAUUAUUAUUUUUUAAAAAAACGAAUGUGUUAGUUUUUAUUCUUCUAAUCAAACUAAUGAAGUAUGGGUCUCAUGCAAUA